This 534-nucleotide ribosomal RNA is filed under the name Stenolepis ridleyi. RNAcentral's name for it is "partial 16S ribosomal RNA". It matches the Rfam family "Bacterial large subunit ribosomal RNA", at positions 1819 to 2628 of the family's 2925-position model. Lineage: Eukaryota; Metazoa; Chordata; Lepidosauria; Squamata; Gymnophthalmidae. The record is from RNAcentral.
CCUUUAGCAAAAUAAGUAUUAAAGGUGACGCCUGCCCAGUGAAUAAUUUAACGGCCGCGGGAUCCUCCACCGUGCAAAGGUAGCAUAAUCACUUGUCUUCUAAAUAAAGACUAGUAUGAAUGGCCAAAUGAAGAUUUACCUGUCUCUUGUAGUCCAUCUAUUAAACUGAUCUUUCAGUACAAAAGCUGAAAUACUAACACAAGACGAAAAGACCCUGUGGAACUUCAAGCUAAAAUCACAUUAAUGAUUAAGCCGCUUUUAGUUGGGGCAACUCUGGAAAAAAACAAAACUUCCAUAUACCCUCAAGGCAGACAUGCCUACACCACUUUUAACCCCUUGACCCAGUAAUACUGAGUAAAGAACCAAGCUACCCCAGGGAUAACAGCGCCAUCCCCUCCUAGAGCCCCCAUCGACGAGCGGGGUUUACGACCUCGAUGUUGGAUCAGGGCCCCCAAGCAGUGCAGCAGCUGCUAAAGGUUUGUUUGUUCAACAAUUAAUGCCCUACGCGAUCUGAGUUAAGACCGGAGCAAUCCA